UGUGCUUUUGUGGGAGCUCUCAUGUUGUUGCUUGCAAUUGCACUGUACAAGGUGAAGAAGCGCCAAGAGAGAGGAGAGAUGGAUGGAGAGGGAGGAAUAGAGCCAGAAAGAAAAUCAAUGGCUAACUUGCCAGUCAGCUCACGCUACAGUGGAAUGAGCCGUGACCAAAACACCCAAAAGUACUUGUACCAAAUUAUUUUGCAUAUGAAUUUCAAAUUCAACUGUUCUUAAAUCUUUUAAAUUCUUCAGAUACAUUAAAAAAAAUAAAUUAAAUUUCACAA
Long non-coding RNA from Colossoma macropomum (tambaqui), 281 nucleotides. RefSeq lists it as uncharacterized. The record is from RefSeq and is a predicted model, not a curated record. NCBI's taxonomy places the organism in Eukaryota, Metazoa, Chordata, Actinopteri, Characiformes, Serrasalmidae. The transcript has 2 exons.